CGCGGGGUGGAGCAGUUCGGUAGCUCGUCGGGCUCAUAACCCGAAGGUCGCAGGUUCAAAUCCUGCCCCCGCCA
Molecule: transfer RNA, 74 nt
Filed under: Ilumatobacter coccineus YM16-304
Lineage: Bacteria; Bacillati; Actinomycetota; Acidimicrobiia; Acidimicrobiales; Ilumatobacteraceae
Also listed under: 5 other names
Rfam family: tRNA
About the family: Transfer RNA (tRNA) molecules are approximately 80 nucleotides in length. Their secondary structure includes four short double-helical elements and three loops (D, anti-codon, and T loops).
Source: Rfam by way of RNAcentral